Molecule: ribosomal RNA, 464 nt
Filed under: Vreelandella stevensii
Lineage: Bacteria; Pseudomonadati; Pseudomonadota; Gammaproteobacteria; Oceanospirillales; Halomonadaceae
Description: partial 16S ribosomal RNA
Rfam family: Bacterial small subunit ribosomal RNA
Source: RNAcentral
CCUACGGGGGCAGCAGUGGGGAAUAUUGGACAAUGGGCGAAAGCCUGAUCCAGCCAUGCCGCGUGUGUGAAGAAGGCCUUCGGGUUGUAAAGCACUUUCAGUGGGGAAGAAAGCCUUGGGGCUAAUACCCUCGAGGAAGGACAUCACCCACAGAAGAAGCACCGGCUAACUCCGUGCCAGCAGCCGCGGUAAUACGGAGGGUGCGAGCGUUAAUCGGAAUUACUGGGCGUAAAGCGCGCGUAGGCGGUCUGAUAAGCCGGUUGUGAAAGCCCCGGGCUCAACCUGGGAAUGGCAUCCGGAACUGUCAGGCUAGAGUGCAGGAGAGGAAGGUAGAAUUCCCGGUGUAGCGGUGAAAUGCGUAGAGAUCGGGAGGAAUACCAGUGGCGAAGGCGGCCUUCUGGACUGACACUGACGCUGAGGUGCGAAAGCGUGGGUAGCAAACAGGAUUAGAUACCCGGGUAGUC